GAUGAAGAACGUAGCGAAAUGCGAUAAGUAAUGUGAAUUGCAGAAUUCAGUGAAUCAUCGAAUCUUUGAACGCACAUUGCGCCCAUUAGUAUUCUAGUGGGCAUGCCUGUUCGAGCGUCAUUACACCACUCAAGCUAUGCUUGGUAUUGGGCGUCGUCCUUAGUUGGGCGCGCCUUAAAGACCUCGGCGAGGCCACUCCGGCUUUAGGCGUAGUAGAAUUUAUUCGAACGUCUGUCAAAGGAGAGGAACUCUGCCGACUGAAACCUUUAUUUUUCUAGGUUGACCUCGGAUCAGGUAGGGAUACCCGCUGAACUUAAGCAUAUCAAUAAGCGGAGGA
This 337-nucleotide unclassified non-coding RNA is filed under the name soil metagenome. RNAcentral describes it as "partial contains 5.8S ribosomal RNA, internal transcribed spacer 2, and large subunit ribosomal RNA". The stretch from base 1 to 120 matches the Rfam family "5.8S ribosomal RNA", at positions 35 to 154 of the family's 154-position model. The record is from RNAcentral.